AACGAACGCUGGCGGCAUGCCUAACACAUGCAAGUCGAACGAGACCUUCGGGUCUAGUGGCGCACGGGUGCGUAACGCGUGGGAACCUGCCCUUAGGUUCGGAAUAACUCCCCGUAAGGUGUGCUAAUACCGGAUAAUGUCUUCGCACCAAAGAUUUAUCGCCUUUGGAUGGGCCCGCGUUGGAUUAGCUGGUUGGUAGGGUAAAAGCCUACCAAGGCGACGAUCCAUAGCUGGUCUGAGAGGAUGAUCAGCCACACUGGGAAUGAGACACGGCCCAGUAUCGUACGGGAGGCAGCAGUGGGGAAUAUUGGACGAUGGGCGAAAGCCCAAUCAAGCAAUGCCGCGUGAGUGAUGAAGGCCUUAGGGUUGUAAAGCUCUUUUACCCGGGAUGAUAAUGACAGUACCGGGAGAAUAAGCACCGGCUAACUCCGUG
This 433-nucleotide ribosomal RNA is filed under the name uncultured bacterium. RNAcentral describes it as "partial 16S ribosomal RNA". It matches the Rfam family "Bacterial small subunit ribosomal RNA", at positions 29 to 507 of the family's 1533-position model. The record is from RNAcentral.